This 526-nucleotide ribosomal RNA is filed under the name uncultured eukaryote. Its description in RNAcentral is "SSU rRNA". It matches the Rfam family "Eukaryotic small subunit ribosomal RNA", at positions 21 to 549 of the family's 1831-position model. The record is from RNAcentral.
UAGUCAUAUGCUUGUCUCAAAGAUUAAGCCAUGCAUGUCUAAGUAUAAGCACUCUUGUACCGUGAAACUGCGAAUGGCUCAUUAAAUCAGUUAUCGUUUAUUUGAUAGUACCCUACUACAUGGAUACCUGUGGUAAUUCUAGAGCUAAUACAUGCGCAAAACCCCGACUUCGGAAGGGGUGUAUUUAUUAGAUAAAAAACCAAUGCCCUUCGGGGCUCCUUGGUGAUUCAUAAUAACUUCACGAAUCGCAUGGCCUUGCGCCGGCGAUGGUUCAUUCAAAUUUCUGCCCUAUCAACUUUCGAUGGUAGGAUAGUGGCCUACCAUGGUGGCAACGGGUAACGGGGAAUUAGGGUUCGAUUCCGGAGAGGGAGCCUGAGAAACGGCUACCACAUCCAAGGAAGGCAGCAGGCGCGCAAAUUACCCAAUCCCGAUACGGGGAGGUAGUGACAAUAAAUACUGAUACAGGGCUCUUUUGGGUCUUGUAAUUGGAAUGAGAACAAUCUAAAUCCCUUAUCGAGGAUCAAUU